This 422-nucleotide ribosomal RNA is filed under the name uncultured bacterium. RNAcentral's name for it is "bacterial SSU rRNA". It matches the Rfam family "Bacterial small subunit ribosomal RNA", at positions 355 to 774 of the family's 1533-position model. The record is from RNAcentral.
UGAGGAAUAUUGGACAAUGGGUGGAAGCCUGAUCCAGCCAUCCCGCGUGAAGGAUGACGGUCCUAUGGAUUGUAAACUUCUUUUGUACAGGGAUAAACCUGCCCUCGUGAGGGCAGCUGAAGGUACUGUACGAAUAAGCACCGGCUAACUCCGUGCCAGCAGCCGCGGUAAUACGGAGGGUGCGAGCGUUAUCCGGAUUUAUUGGGUUUAAAGGGUCCGUAGGCGGGCCUGUAAGUCAGUGGUGAAAUCUCAUAGCUUAACUAUGAAACUGCCAUUGAUACUGCAGGCCUUGAGUAACUUUGAAGUGGCUGGAAUAAGUAGUGUAGCGGUGAAAUGCAUAGAUAUUACUUAGAACACCGAUUGCGAAGGCAGGUCACUAAGAUUUAACUGACGCUGAUGGACGAAAGCGUGGGGAGCGAACA